UAUGGUGUGGUGGAAUGGCAGACACGCUAGUUUACCAAACUAGUGGGUAAAACCGUACGGGUUCGAGUCACGUCACCCUCA
This 81-nucleotide transfer RNA is filed under the name Paenibacillus sp. Root444D2. It matches the Rfam family "tRNA". From Rfam's summary of the family: Transfer RNA (tRNA) molecules are approximately 80 nucleotides in length. Their secondary structure includes four short double-helical elements and three loops (D, anti-codon, and T loops). Further hydrogen bonds mediate the characteristic L-shaped molecular structure. tRNAs have two regions of fundamental functional importance: the anti-codon, which is responsible for specific mRNA codon recognition, and the 3' end, to which the tRNAs corresponding amino acid is attached (by aminoacyl-tRNA synthetases). tRNAs cope with the degeneracy of the genetic code in two manners: having more than one tRNA (with a specific anti-codon) for a particular amino acid; and 'wobble' base-pairing, i.e. permitting non-standard base-pairing at the 3rd anti-codon position. The record is from Rfam by way of RNAcentral. Lineage: Bacteria; Bacillati; Bacillota; Bacilli; Caryophanales; Paenibacillaceae.